RNAcentral lists this ribosomal RNA (255 nucleotides) under uncultured prokaryote. RNAcentral describes it as "partial 16S ribosomal RNA". It matches the Rfam family "Bacterial small subunit ribosomal RNA", at positions 523 to 777 of the family's 1533-position model. The record is from RNAcentral.
AGACGUAGGAGGCGAGCGUUAUCCGGAUUCACUGGGCGUAAAGCGCAUGUAGGCGGCUGGACAAGUCGUGUGUUAAAGCCCCUGGCUCAACUGGGGGAGGUCAUGCGAGACUGUUCGGCUGGAGGGCAACAGAGGCACGUGGAACUCCCGGUGUAGCGGUGGAAUGCGUAGAGAUCGGGAAGAACACCAGUGGCGAAGGCGACGUGCUGGGUUGCACCUGACGCUGAGAUGCGAAAGUGUGGGGAGCAAACGGGA